AGCUUGAAGUUUGAUUCUUGCUUGUAAUUUUUAUAUUAUGAUUGAAUAAUACAUGAAAAUUUUAGUGUUCCUUUAUAUUUAAAUUAAAAAUUUUAAUAUAUAAUAAAUCUCAGUAUUUAAUUUUAAAAAAUUAAUUAAAAUUAGAAUUGGCUAUCAUUUUAAUUCUGACUAAAAUUUGUGCCAGCAGUCGCGGUUAUACUUAGGGGGUGAAUAAAUAUAAUUUGGUUCUAUAGUAAAUUAUUUGUUAAUUAAAAUUUAUUAUUUUUUUUGAAAGAGUGAAAUCAGAAUUUAAUAAUAAUAAUAAUUUUUAAAAAAAACUAAAAAAAACUAUAAAUUUUAAUAUAUAAACUAGGAUUAGAUACCCCCCUAU
Molecule: ribosomal RNA, 370 nt
Filed under: Labidochirus splendescens
Lineage: Eukaryota; Metazoa; Arthropoda; Malacostraca; Decapoda; Paguridae
Description: partial 12S ribosomal RNA
Source: RNAcentral